ACGAACGCUGGCGGCGUGCUUAACACAUGCAAGUCGAACGGAAAGGCCCUGCUUUUGUGGGGUGCUCUAGUGGCGAACGUGUUAGUAACACGUGAGUAACCUGCCCUUUACUUUGGGAUAACUUCAGGUAACUGGGUCUAAUACCGCAUAGUAGCUCCUGCUGCAUGGUGGGGGUUGGAAAGUUUCGGCGGUUGGGGAUGGACUGGCGGCUUAUCAGCUUGUUUGUGGGGUAGUGGCUUAAAAAGGCUUUGACGGGUAGCCGGCCUGAGAGGGUGACCGGGCACAUUAGGAAUGAGGUAGGGCGCAGACUCGUAUGGGAGGCAGCAGGGGGGAAAAUUGCACAAUAAGCAGAAGCGUGAUGAAGAAACGCAGCGUGAGGGAAAACGGACUUAGGGUUGGAAACCGAGUUCGCCUGAGACGAAGCGUGAGUGACGGUAAAGAGUAAAGAAGAACCGGCUAACUACGUG
RNAcentral lists this ribosomal RNA (467 nucleotides) under uncultured bacterium. RNAcentral's name for it is "partial 16S ribosomal RNA". It matches the Rfam family "Bacterial small subunit ribosomal RNA", at positions 29 to 507 of the family's 1533-position model. The record is from RNAcentral.